RNA transcript from Schistocerca piceifrons (Central American locust), 1101 nucleotides. It is a transcript of the gene named phenoloxidase-activating factor 3-like, with no coding region annotated. NCBI's taxonomy places the organism in Eukaryota, Metazoa, Arthropoda, Insecta, Orthoptera, Acrididae. The transcript is spliced from 6 exons. The record is from RefSeq and is a predicted model, not a curated record.
GGUCAUGUGCAGAUUAAAAUGAAUUAUUUUAAUCUGCACAUGACCUCAGUGCCAAAGCUUUAUCUGUAAAGUGACCCCUAUAUGCUCUAUUAAACAUCAUCAAAAUGUUAACCUCAGCAGAAAUAAUUUAAUCUAAUCAUAGACAAAAUUAGAAGACAACUUGAAUAAAAUCACCCAGUCCAGAAUAAACAAUUGCAUAAAAUAGUGAUAAACCUGUGAAGCCAGAUAUAAAACGAUUUCAUAGAAGAGGACCUAAAAUGGAGCUGCUCACUGUUUUGUGAAAUCAAGAAAUCCCAAAGAUUACAUGAUCAGAGCAGGCAAAUACCACAGAGGCUUGGAUAUAAAGGAUCCAACAGACCAACAAUUUGAAUUUUCAGGUAGAGUCAAUUGAGACUAAAGAUACAUAUGAAGCAGAUUCAGGAAACUAUGUAGAUGAUAUUGCCAUAAUAGUUUUGCAAACUGAAAUAACAAUCUCAGAUUUUGUGAGACCAGUUUGUGUAGAUCUUGAAAGUAAAUAUGAGAGAGAACAGCUGUCUUCUGGGACUUUUGGCUCUGUGACUUUCAGCCCUACUGCUCGCUUGGGUUCCACUGAAAGGCCAGCAUCAAAUGAUGUCAUACUAACAACCAGAUUGCCAUUUGUUGAGUUUGGUCAGUGUUAUGAACUGUUUCCUGCCCCUUUCAGAACUUUCUUUACUUCUGACAAGUUCUGUGCAGGAUCUACAAAUGGUUCUGAAGUUUGCCUGGGUGAUGCUGUUGGUGGCUUGUUGUUUGAGCAGGAGGUAACAGCCACAACAAAACAGUGGUUCAUUCAGGGAAUAGCAAGCUUAAGUCUACCAUCAAGGAGAGGACAAAUGUGUUCAAGAUACCCUGUUCUUUUCACAAAAGUGAAUGAUCAUCUGGACUGGUUACAGACCUUCUAUGACAAAUAUUAAAGAGACAGUGAUGUUGUAACAAAUAUGCCAUAAUUAUAUGUGGAAGUAGUUUUCAAAUUCGUGAUUCCACUUGCUGUAAAUCAGCUUAUGAUUUUGUUUUAUCAUGGGGCACUGUUAAACUGUAAUGAAGUUUCUUUCUGGAGAAGUCAAUAUAUUUUUCUAGAAAGAG